Clupea harengus (Atlantic herring) is the source of this 1818-nucleotide long non-coding RNA. RefSeq lists it as uncharacterized. NCBI's taxonomy places the organism in Eukaryota, Metazoa, Chordata, Actinopteri, Clupeiformes, Clupeidae. The record is from RefSeq and is a predicted model, not a curated record.
UCUUCCUAGCCUGCCCUAGUGACUAUGCAAUGUGGCACAUCACAUCCUAAUUUUUUUUUGUCAAUAUGCAUUUGUUUUUUGUUUUAAAACCUACAGUUUUAUCUGUUACAUUUUUUUUGUAGGGGUAUGUUAUUAUUGCAUUAUGUUUGUGUCAAGUUACAAAGUUACAUUUGUUUCAUGGUACCGCUGGAAUAAAAAAAAAUUCAGCCUGAUACAACAUAAUAACUCCAGAUAUUACACUGUAAAAGGUAACACGACUACUAACUUAAAUCAUUUUAGUAUUCUUUACUUGUGUAAUGCUAUCCCAGUGAUUUAGCUCAAAUUAUUUAAGUAAUGUAUUCAUUUUGUAUGCAAAAGCUCAAAAACUCAAUGAACAUGAGUAAACCGCACUCACAGCGCUCCAGUGCUAAAUAGCUCUUAACUGCGCAUGCGCAUACGAGAGAGGCAGGAGAAUCAGAUUGAAGAGAGUUGGAGAAAGUUUAACGCUAUACAUGUGCGAAGCAGAACUCUGUCUCAUAGUUAAAGAUAAAGAGCACAGGAUGCAUCCGCAUUGGAAAACAACAGACAGUUGCUUGAAGAUGAAAUGAAGAAAAGGACACCAAAUGCAGCACUUGUGAAUCAGCUGAUGAACCAGACCUUCUCACUGAGACGCAAAGAAAUCGUCGAAGAGCAGCCUCCUGUGAAACGCAUGUUGGAACGCUGGCCAGCGCUUUUCAGAAAACAGCAGGUUUUUGCAGAGUUCACUAGGGUGGCAAGUAAAGAUCUUGAACUUUUUUGAGUCCUUGGACCGUCACAUCCCUCGAUUUCUCAAGAUCUUUAAGUCCAAGAAGGGUGUUAUUGGCAGGACACUUGCAGAGCUCCUUACUCAAGCUGAAAUGAAGACCCAUGAUGUUGUGGCAAGGCGGACAGCUGUCCUACGCUGUCUUGCAGUUUUUCUUGGGGAUGAUGGGAGUGAUUUUUUUCAAAGUUUGUUUUGAUUCAGAUUCCAUCACGGAUUUCACCGAGAUUCCUGUUGGGGUAUGAACCGUCAUACCCGAAGACAGCCCACAACCAAGUCAAAAUGUCCUGCACCUUGAGCCAUCCAGCAUUGCUAUCAUACUGGAAGGUAACAUCGUAAUGGAUGACCUUCAAAAUCAUACUGAAGCUAUUUGCUUGACUUUUGGACUUAUCUACAACCUUCAUUUGGACUAUCCCAGAAGAUUGAAGAACACUUUUGACUUCAUUCAGAGGGUCAUGCUGGAUCUGGGUGUAGGGAACCUUAGGCCAAAACUCCAGAGCUUAAAAAAUGCCCUUUUGCAGUAGGUUGUUCUGAGUUGCUUGAACACACUGAAUUGUUGUACUUUCACGUAAGCCAGAGUUAUGUGUCACAAUUAAUGUCGGGUCAAGAGUGAAUGUUUUGUUUGCCAAUAUUGUAUGUAUGUGCUUCCACAAUUUUGAAAAAUGCCCUUUUGCAGGUUGUUUUGAGUUGCUUGAACACACUGAAUUGUUGUACUUUCACGUAUAUAUUAAGCCAGAAUGGCCAGUUAUGUGUCACAAUUAAUGUCGCCUUAAGAGUGAAUGUUUUGUUUGCCAAAAUUGUAUAUAUAUGUGCUUCCACAAUUUUGAAAAAUGCCCUUUUGCAGGUUGUUUUGAGUUGCUUGAACACACUGAAUUUUUUUGUACUUCCACGUAAUAUACAUUGAGCCAGAAUGGCCAGUUACAGUACAUGUCACAAUUAAUGUCGCCUUAAGAGUGAAUGUUUUGUUUUGCCAAAAUUGUAUGUGCUUCCACAAAUUGUUAUACUAUGAGAAAAUAAAAAGUAAUACGGCUGACUGAUAA